GAUGAACGCUGGCGGCGUGCCUAAUACAUGCAAGUCGAGCGAACGGACGAGAAGCUUGCUUCUCUGAUGUUAGCGGCGGACGGGUGAGUAACACGUGGAUAACCUACCUAUAAGACUGGGAUAACUUCGGGAAACCGGAGCUAAUACCGGAUAAUAUUUUGAACCGCAUGGUUCAAAAGUGAAAGGCGGUCUUGCUGUCACUUAUAGAUGGAUCCGCGCUGCAUUAGCUAGUUGGUAAGGUAACGGCUUAUCAAGGCAACGAUGCAUAGCCGACCUGAGAGAGUGAUCGGCCACACGGGAGCUGAGACACGGUCCAGGCUCCUGCGGGAGGCAGCAGUAGGGAAUCUUCCGCAAUGGGCGAAAGCCUGACGGAGCAACGCCGCGUGAGUGAUGGAGGUCUUCGGAUCGUAAAACUCUGUUAUUAGGUGAGAACAUAUGUGUAAGUAGCUGUGCACAUCUUGACGGUACCUAAUCAGAAAGCCACGGCUAACUACGUG
This 497-nucleotide ribosomal RNA is filed under the name uncultured bacterium. Its description in RNAcentral is "partial 16S ribosomal RNA". It matches the Rfam family "Bacterial small subunit ribosomal RNA", at positions 28 to 507 of the family's 1533-position model. The record is from RNAcentral.